UGGGGGAUAUUGCACAAUGGGCGAAAGCCUGAUGCAGCGACGCCGCGUGGGGGAUGAAGGCCUUCGGGUUGUAAACUUCUUUUGCUCUGAACAAGGCAUGCUAAUGGGUGUGUUGAGUGUAGGGGUUGAUUAGCGCCGGCUAACUACGUGCCAGCAGCCGCGGUAAUACGUAGGGCGCGAGCGUUGUCCGGAAUUAUUGGGCGUAAAGGGCUUGUAGGUGGCUGGUUGCGUCUGUCGUGAAAGCUCAUGGCUUAACUGUGGGUUUGCGGUGGGUACGGGCUGGCUUGAGUGCAGUAGGGGAGGGUGGAAUUCCUGGUGUAGCGUUGGAAUGCGCAGAUAUCAGGAGGAAUACCGGUGGCGAAGGCGGGUCUCUGGGCUGUUACUGACACUGAGGAGCGAAAGCAUGGGGAGCGAACAGG
This 419-nucleotide ribosomal RNA is filed under the name bacterium. Its description in RNAcentral is "partial 16S ribosomal RNA". It matches the Rfam family "Bacterial small subunit ribosomal RNA", at positions 355 to 776 of the family's 1533-position model. The record is from RNAcentral.